Long non-coding RNA from Cervus elaphus (red deer), 200 nucleotides. RefSeq lists it as uncharacterized. NCBI's taxonomy places the organism in Eukaryota, Metazoa, Chordata, Mammalia, Artiodactyla, Cervidae. The transcript is spliced from 3 exons. The record is from RefSeq and is a predicted model, not a curated record.
GAGACUGAGACUUGGAGAGAUGAAAUCAACUGCCCAAGAUUAUAGCUGGGUCUCACCCGGGAUAACCACCACACAAUUAGUUAUGUCUCCUUGGACUCCUCUUCUCUGUGGCAGGUUCUCAGAACUUUCUUGUUUUGAAUGACCUGGACAAUUUUGGUCAGCAUACAUGGCUUUUGAUGAGAAGCAUGUUGUUAUUCUUU